This 436-nucleotide ribosomal RNA is filed under the name Campylobacter jejuni. RNAcentral's name for it is "partial 23S ribosomal RNA". It matches the Rfam family "Bacterial large subunit ribosomal RNA", at positions 1 to 456 of the family's 2925-position model. The record is from RNAcentral. Lineage: Bacteria; Pseudomonadati; Campylobacterota; Epsilonproteobacteria; Campylobacterales; Campylobacteraceae.
AAAGGUAAGCUACUAAGAGCGAAUGGUGGAUGCCUUGACUGGUAAAGGCGAUGAAGGACGUACUAGACUGCGAUAAGCUACGGGGAGCUGUCAAGAAGCUUUGAUCCGUAGAUUUCCGAAUGGGGCAACCCAAUGUAUAGAGAUAUACAUUACCUAUAUAGGAGCGAACGAGGGGAAUUGAAACAUCUUAGUACCCUCAGGAAAAGAAAUCAAUAGAGAUUGCGUCAGUAGCGGCGAGCGAAAGCGCAAGAGGGCAAACCCAGUGCUUGCACUGGGGGUUGUAGGACUGCAAUGUGCAAGAGGUAAGUUUAGCAGAACAUUCUGGAAAGUAUAACCAUAGAGGGUGAUAGUCCCGUAUGCGAAAAACAAACCUUAGCUAGCAGUAUCCUGAGUAGGGCGGGACACGAGGAAUCCUGUCUGAAUCCGGGUCGACCAC